AUGAAGAAACGAAGAGGCUGUUGUGUCCCUUACUCUUACUCCUUUCUCCUCACGGCUGCUCGGCAGCAGAAACCACCCUCAUCUACCACGGCCAUCGGUGGCUGGAGCAGAGCUGAUGGCUUUCCCCACAGAGAAACUGGGGAGAGGAGGCUUUCCCCACAGAGAAACUGGGAAGAGGAGGCUUUCCCCACAGAACCUGGACAAUAACUCCGGGCAGGAGGAAAAU
This 226-nucleotide long non-coding RNA is filed under the name Calidris pugnax (ruff). RNAcentral's name for it is "lncRNA (ENSCPUG00000016576.1)". Lineage: Eukaryota; Metazoa; Chordata; Aves; Charadriiformes; Scolopacidae. The record is from RNAcentral.